GACGAACGCUGGCGGCGUGCUUAACACAUGCAAGUCGAACGGAAAGGCCCUGCUUGCAGGGUGCUCGAGUGGCGAACGGGUGAGUAACACGUGGGUGAUCUGCCCCUUAUUUUGGGAUAAGCCUGGGAAACUGGGUCUAAUACUGGGUAGGACCAUGCUGUAGGUGGUGUGGUGGAAAGAUUAGUUUCGGUAAGGGAUGAGCUCGCGGCCUAUCAGCUUGUUGGUGGGGUAAUGGCCUACCAAGGCGUCGACGGGUAGCCGGCCUGAGAGGGUGGACGGCCACAUUGGGACUGAGAUACGGCCCAGACUCCUACGGGAGGCAGCAGUGGGGAAUAUUGCACAAUGGGCGCAAGCCUGAUGCAGCGACGCCGCGUGGGGGAUGACGGCCUUCGGGUUGUAAACUCCUUUCAGCCAUGACGAAGCCCUUGUGGUGACGGUAGUGGUAGAAGAAGCACCGGCUAACUACGUG
This 469-nucleotide ribosomal RNA is filed under the name uncultured bacterium. RNAcentral's name for it is "partial 16S ribosomal RNA". It matches the Rfam family "Bacterial small subunit ribosomal RNA", at positions 28 to 507 of the family's 1533-position model. The record is from RNAcentral.